RNAcentral lists this long non-coding RNA (986 nucleotides) under Cricetulus griseus (Chinese hamster). Its description in RNAcentral is "lncRNA (ENSCGRG00015031026.1)". Lineage: Eukaryota; Metazoa; Chordata; Mammalia; Rodentia; Cricetidae. The record is from RNAcentral.
AUCAGCUUGAGCACCCCAAAGCCCCUCCCCACAUGCAUGUGUGUACAUACUUGGAAAAACUUAGUCUAAGAUUUAUGAUAUUCACCCAAGCAAGAGUAGUGGCACAAUAAUAACCCUUAUGGAGAAGACUGAAGAAGAUGAGACAAGCAAUAUCACCUGGCACCCUUUUGGUGAGCAAGCUAAUAUUUGGCAUGGCUCAAGAGCAAGCCUGGGAACCCCCAAAACAGUGAAACCUGCUGAAAUAAUGAGGAUCCUGCUGACAUAACGGGGAUCGUGUUUGAUGCACAUCCAUUCUGCAGCACAUCCAGGGGAAGUUAACAUUUAAAUUCAAGAAACACUUAUGUAAAGCAACCAGACAUAUGCCGAAUGCUUCUUGAAUUAUUUAGUAAAAUUCUAAUUAUCUAGAUAGUAUGCAUAAAAUGGACAAUUUGUAUUUAAAAUUUCAAGCUUAUAUCCUUGGCUAUAUAAUUGUACAUGAUUUUCCCCCAGAGCUAGAAAGAGAAUCUUUAAUGUAUGAUAAUUACAUUUGAAGAAGAAUUAAAAAACACAUGUAAUUUAAAUAAAAUCAAUAAAAAGAGCUGUCAAAUAUCUACUUGAGCUCAUUUCAUGGAAAUCUUCUAAAGUUGUGCUCAACAUUUCUUUCUUCUUUUCAGAGUGUAAGCAGAAUAUUUCUCUCACUUUAGAAAGAGGCCCUGAACUUACUAACUAUUCCUCUAGAACCAUGCACCAUUUCUUUGUCCAACCCUGACAAGGCUCAUUGUAUUUCCCAGUUUUCUUCAUUUGGAUUAGCUAGAACUGGGUUGUUGACUCUGUUCAGAGAAAUAAGUGAAGUCAUACAAUAAGGGAACCUUUGUAACUGGUCUCUCUUAACACACUUUUCAAAAAUCUUCACAUGUUCUGUGUCUGUUCUUCACUUGUACAGCUAAACAAUUAAUUGUAAGGCUAAAAUAUUAUUUUAUUUGUCAAAGCAUCAAUGUAUAAGUACA